This 65-nucleotide transfer RNA is filed under the name Ambulyx substrigilis. RNAcentral describes it as "tRNA-Val". The record is from RNAcentral. Lineage: Eukaryota; Metazoa; Arthropoda; Insecta; Lepidoptera; Sphingidae.
CAAAUUAGAGCUUGUUAAAGUAUUUCAUUUACAUUGAAAAGAUAUUAUAAUUAUAAUUAAUUUGU